Molecule: non-coding RNA, 78 nt
Filed under: bovine gut metagenome
Description: Cyclic di-GMP-I riboswitch
Rfam family: c-di-GMP-I riboswitch aptamer
About the family: GEMM was predicted in a large-scale screen for bacterial structured RNA regulatory elements. Genes associated with GEMM are involved in a diverse array of functions, including chemotaxis regulation, signal transduction, secretion and chitin.
Source: RNAcentral
AUCGGCAAAACCGUCGAAAGGCGGUGACGCAAAGCAAUAGUGUCUAAACGGCGUUGCGCCGCAUGGCAGACUGGCUGC